This 491-nucleotide ribosomal RNA is filed under the name uncultured bacterium. Its description in RNAcentral is "bacterial SSU rRNA". It matches the Rfam family "Bacterial small subunit ribosomal RNA", at positions 8 to 496 of the family's 1533-position model. The record is from RNAcentral.
AGAGUUUGAUCAUGGCUCAGGAUGAACGCUGGCGGCGUGCCUAACACAUGCAAGUCGAGCGAAGCACUUUGCUUUGAAUCUUUCGGGAGGACGAGUGAUUUGACUGAGCGGCGGACGGGUGAGUAACGCGUGGGCAACCUGCCUCACACAGGGGGAUAACAGUUAGAAAUGACUGCUAAUACCGCAUAAGGCCACAGCACCGCAUGGUGCAGGGGUAAAAACUCCGGUGGUGUGAGAUGGACCCGCGUCUGAUUAGCUAGUUGGUAAGGUAACGGCUUACCAAGGCGACGAUCAGUAGCCGACCUGAGAGGGUGACCGGCCACAUUGGGACUGAGACACGGCCCAAACUCCUACGGGAGGCAGCAGUGGGGAAUAUUGCACAAUGGGGGAAACCCUGAUGCGGCGACGCCGCGUGAGUGAAGAAGUAUUUCGGUAUGUAAAGCUCUAUCAGCAGGGAAGAAGAAAGACGGUACCUGAGUAAGAAGCCCCGG